GAUGAACGCUGGCGGCGUGCCUAAUACAUGCAAGUCGAGCGAACAGACGAGGAGCUUGCUCCUCUGACGUUAGCGGCGGACGGGUGAGUAACACGUGGAUAACCUACCUAUAAGACUGGGAUAACUUCGGGAAACCGGAGCUAAUACCGGAGAAUAUAUUGAACCGCAUGGUUCAAUAGUGAAAGACGGUUUUGCUGUCACGUAUAGAUGGAUCCGCGCCGCAUUAGCUAGUUGGUAAGGUAACGGCUUACCAAGGCAACGAUGCGUAGCCGACCUGAGAGGGUGAUCGGCCACACUGGAACUGAGCCACGGUCCAGACUCCUACGGGAGGCAGCAGUAGGGAAUCUUCCGCAAAGGGCGAAAGCUUGACGGAGCAACGCCGCGUGAGUGAUGAAGGUCUUCGGAUCGUAAAACUCUGUUAUUAGGGAAGAACAAAUGUGUAAGUAACUAUGCACGUCUUGACGGUACCUAAUCAGAAAGCCACGGCUAACUACGUG
RNAcentral lists this ribosomal RNA (497 nucleotides) under uncultured bacterium. RNAcentral describes it as "partial 16S ribosomal RNA". It matches the Rfam family "Bacterial small subunit ribosomal RNA", at positions 28 to 507 of the family's 1533-position model. The record is from RNAcentral.